This 477-nucleotide ribosomal RNA is filed under the name uncultured Caldilineaceae bacterium. RNAcentral describes it as "bacterial SSU rRNA". It matches the Rfam family "Bacterial small subunit ribosomal RNA", at positions 28 to 505 of the family's 1533-position model. Lineage: Bacteria; Bacillati; Chloroflexota; Caldilineae; Caldilineales; Caldilineaceae. The record is from RNAcentral.
GAUGAACGCUGGCGGCGUGCUUAACACAUGCAAGUCGAACGUGAAGCUUGGGAUGAAUACUUCGGUAGGAUUACUAAGUGGAAAGUGGCGAACGGGUGAGUAACACGUAGGUUACCUGCCCUGGAGUGGGGGACAACCAUUGGAAACGAUGGCUAAUACCGCAUAGUUCUGUCGGUCUGGGAAGGCCGAUAGAUAAAGCUUCGGCGCUCCAGGAGGGGCCUGCGGUCGAUUAGCUAGUUGGUGGGGUAAAGGCCUACCAAGGCGACGAUCGAUAGCUGGUCUGAGAGGACGAUCAGCCACAUGGGAACUGAGACACGGUCCCAACUCCUACGGGGGGCAGCAGUGAGGAAUAUUGCACAAUGGGGGAAACCCUGAUGCAGCAACGCCGCGUGGAGGAUGAAGGUUUUUGGAUUGUAAACUCCUUUUCUGAGGGAAGAGCAAGGACGGUACCUCAGGAAUAAGUCACGGCUAACUACG